GACGAACGCUUGCGGCGUGCUUAACACAUGCAAGUCGAACGGAAAGGCCCUGCUUUUGUGGGGUGCUCGAGUGGCGAACGGGUGAGUAACACGUGAGUAACCUGCCCUUGACUUUGGGAUAACUUCAGGAAACUGGGGCUAAUACCGGAUAGGAGCUCCUGCUGCAUGGUGGGGGUUGGAAAGUUUCGGCGGUUGGGGAUGGACUCGCGGCUUAUCAGCUUGUUGGUGGGGUAGUGGCUUACCAAGGCUUUGACGGGUAGCCGGCCUGAGAGGGUGACCGGCCACAUUGGGACUGAGAUACGGCCCAGACUCCUACGGGAGGCAGCAGUGGGGAAUAUUGCACAAUGGGCGGAAGCCUGAUGCAGCAACGCCGCGUGCGGGAUGACGGCCUUCGGGUUGUAAACUGCUUUCGCCUGUGACGAAGCGUGAGUGACGGUAAUGGGUAAAGAAGCACCGGCUAACUACGUGCCAGCAGCCGCGGUGAUACGUAGGGUGCGAGCGUUGUCCGGAUUUAUUGGGCGUAAAGGGCUCGUAGGUGGUUGAUCGCGUCGGAAGUGUAAUCUUGGGGCUUAACCCUGAGCGUGCUUUCGAUACGGGUUGACUUGAGGAAAGGUAGGGGAGAAUGGAAUUCCUGGUGGAGCGGUGGAAUGCGCAGAUAUCAGGAGGAACACCAGUGGCGAAGGCGGUUCUCUGGGCCUUUCCUGACGCUGAGGAGCGAAAGCGUGGGGAGCGAACAGGCUUAGAUACCCUGGUAGUCCACGCUGUAAACGGUGGGUACUAGGUGUGGGGUCCAUUCCACGGGUUCCGUGCCGUAGCUAACGCUUUAAGUACCCCGCCUGGGGAGUACGGCCGCAAGGCUAAAACUCAAAGGAAUUGACGGGGCCCCGCACAAGCGGCGGAGCAUGCGGAUUAAUUCGAUGCAACGCGUAGAACCUUACCUGGGUUUGACAUGGAUCGGGAGUGCUCAGAGAUGGGUGUGCCUCUUUUGGGGUCGGUUCACAGGUGGUGCAUGGCUGUCGUCAGCUCGUGUCGUGAGAUGUUGGGUUAAGUCCCGCAACGAGCGCAACCCUUGUUCACUGUUGCCAGCACGUUAUGGUGGGGACUCAGUGGAGACCGCCGGGGUCAACUCGGAGGAAGGUGGGGAUGACGUCAAGUCAUCAUGCCCCUUAUGUCCAGGGCUUCACGCAUGCUACAAUGGCUGGUACAGAGAGUGGCGAGCCUGUGAGGGUGAGCGAAUCUCGGAAAGCCGGUCUCAGUUCGGAUUGGGGUCUGCAACUCGACCUCAUGAAGUCGGAGUCGCUAGUAACCGCAGAUCAGCAACGCUGCGGUGAAUACGUUCCCGGG
RNAcentral lists this ribosomal RNA (1344 nucleotides) under uncultured bacterium. RNAcentral describes it as "16S ribosomal RNA". It matches the Rfam family "Bacterial small subunit ribosomal RNA", at positions 28 to 1378 of the family's 1533-position model. The record is from RNAcentral.